This 494-nucleotide ribosomal RNA is filed under the name uncultured bacterium. RNAcentral describes it as "partial 16S ribosomal RNA". It matches the Rfam family "Bacterial small subunit ribosomal RNA", at positions 28 to 523 of the family's 1533-position model. The record is from RNAcentral.
GAUGAACGCUAGCGGGAGGCCUAACACAUGCAAGCCGAGCGGUAUUGUUUCUUCGGAAAUGAGAGAGCGGCGUACGGGUGCGUAACACGUGUGCAACCUGCCUUUAUCUGGGGGAUAGCCUUUCGAAAGGAAGAUUAAUACUCCAUAAUAUAUUGAACGGCAUCGUUUAAUAUUGAAAGCUCCGGCGGAUAGAGAUGGGCACGCGCAAGAUUAGCUAGUUGGUGAGGUAACGGCUCACCAAGGCGAUGAUCUUUAGGGGGCCUGAGAGGGUGAUCCCCCACACUGGUACUGAGACACGGACCAGACUCCUACGGGAGGCAGCAGUGAGGAAUAUUGGUCAAUGGGUGCAAGCCUGAACCAGCCAUCCCGCGUGAAGGACGACUGCCUAUGGGUUGUAAACUUCCUUUGUAUAGGGAUAAACCUACCCUCGUGAGGGUAGCUGAAGGUACUGUACGAAUAAGCACCGGCUAACUCCGUGCCAGCCGCCGCCGUAA